This 436-nucleotide long non-coding RNA is filed under the name Marmota monax (woodchuck). Lineage: Eukaryota; Metazoa; Chordata; Mammalia; Rodentia; Sciuridae. The record is from RNAcentral.
UCCCGGCUCUCAUGAGUUGGUUCUAUCUCUUCAACCUCUCUUCUUAGAACGCUCAAUUUUUCUUCUAGGCGACAAUCUUCAGACUGCAGUAACAGUGGCCAGAAAGUCUGGGAUGGUUUCUGAAAGCCAAAAAGUCAUUCUCAUCGAGGCAAAUGAGACCACUGGGUCCUCGUCAGCAUCGAUAUCUUGGAAAUUAGUAGAAGAGAAGAAACAUGUUUCAUAUGGGAAUCAGGUAUACCUCAAAACAGACGGGCCACAUUUCCUGACUUGUCUCAUGAUGUCGGUGAUGGACAGCUCUGAUGGGCAGAGUGUCAGAGUGACCUAGAGUCCACCGACUUCCCCAGGUGUCUAACAAUAUGAAGUUCAAUGAACCCAAUUAUAUCAGUUUUCCCCACUGUUUCUUCUGUGCUCUAAGGUAUGGGCUUUCCUGAGCGCU